RNAcentral lists this ribosomal RNA (221 nucleotides) under uncultured bacterium. RNAcentral describes it as "partial 16S ribosomal RNA". It matches the Rfam family "Bacterial small subunit ribosomal RNA", at positions 87 to 308 of the family's 1533-position model. The record is from RNAcentral.
CGGUCCUAGUGGCGAACGGUCGCGUAACACGUAAGCAACCUGCCCUGAAGUGGGGGACAACAUCCCGAAAGGGGUGCUAAUACCGCAUGUGGUCACGAGUCGGCAUCGGCUUGUGUCUAAAGAUUUAUCGCUUCAGGAUGGGAUUGCGGCCUAUCAGGUAGUUGGUGGUGUAAUGGCCUACCGAGCAGACGACGGGUAGCUGGUCUGAGAGGACGAUCAGC